Long non-coding RNA from Alligator sinensis (Chinese alligator), 270 nucleotides. RefSeq lists it as uncharacterized. The transcript has 3 exons. NCBI's taxonomy places the organism in Eukaryota, Metazoa, Chordata, Crocodylia, Alligatoridae. The record is from RefSeq and is a predicted model, not a curated record.
CUGAAAGCAGCACCAAGUGUCAGAUACAGAGAGCAGCUUGGAAGAAGUGCCUGGCAAGAGAGGAAGAAACUUCAAAAGCUUUAAUUUCAAGACAAUAAAGGUCUCACGUUGAUAUGUGUACAAGCUUUGACUGCAACUGGAAAAAAGUUAUAGCAUGAUGCAUCACAAGCAGGUCUAGGGAAGUGAUAAUUCCCCUCUGUGCAGCAUUGGUGAGACCGCAGAUGGAGUACCACGUCCAAUUUUGGGUGCCUCACUUCAAGAUGGAUGUGG